This 433-nucleotide ribosomal RNA is filed under the name uncultured bacterium. RNAcentral's name for it is "partial 16S ribosomal RNA". It matches the Rfam family "Bacterial small subunit ribosomal RNA", at positions 29 to 507 of the family's 1533-position model. The record is from RNAcentral.
AGCGAACGCUGGCGGCAGGCUUAACACAUGCAAGUCGAACGCAUCCUCCGGGGUGAGUGGCAGACGGGUGUGUAACAUGUGGGAACGUUCCCUUCGACAUGGGAUACCUUUGGGAAACUGGAGCUAAUACCGGAUACGCCCUUCUGGGGAAAGGUUUACUGUAGAAGGAUAGGCCCGCGUCCGUUUAGCUUGUUGGUGGGGUAACGGCCUACCAAGGCGAGGAUCAGUAGCUGGUCUGAGAGGAUGAUCAGCCACACUGAGACUAUGACACGGCCCAGACUCCUACAGAAGGCGGCAGUGGGGAAUAUUGCACAAUGGGCGCAAGGCUGAUCCAGCCAUGCCGCGUGAGUGAUGAAGGCCUUAGAGAAGUAAAGCUCUUUUGUCCGGGACGAUAAUGACGGUACCGGAAGAAUAAGCCCCGGCUAACUUCGUG